This is a long non-coding RNA of Alligator sinensis (Chinese alligator), 566 nucleotides long. RefSeq lists it as uncharacterized. NCBI's taxonomy places the organism in Eukaryota, Metazoa, Chordata, Crocodylia, Alligatoridae. The transcript is spliced from 3 exons. The record is from RefSeq and is a predicted model, not a curated record.
GAGGAGAAAAGAAGGGGAGACUGGGUCACUGUAGAUAGAGAACAGGGAAAAGGCCCAGAGGUAUGAAAGAAAGAGACACGGGUCAAUCAAAAACAGACAGCAGAUUACAGAUCCUUUCAGAGAUGGAAAGGCGGGAAAGAAAACGCUACAGGGACAAACUGGGGAAUCUCUGACCUUGUGCACAGGAUGAGACUCAGGACUCCUGGAUUCUAUUUCACGUUCUGCAACUGGCUCGCUGACUUCGGGCAUGAUAUGUGAAGUUGAAGUGCUGCCUACUUCACCAGAGAACCUCAGUCAUUAUGAGAAAAAUGAAGAGAACAACACUGACCCAGUCUCCCUGAGACUACAGUGGACACUACAUUAAUAAAGAUGCUGACCUGCAGCUCACAUUAAAUCUAUGGACUUUCGUGGCAUGGUGCUUUUCAGAAGAAUGAGAUGGAGCAGUUUUACAGCACAAGCACCAUAUUAAGGCUCAGAAGAUCCGAGUUGAGCUCGAUCCCAUACUUCCUGAGUGUACUUUCAAGUAAAAUACUUUCUCUAUCUGUACAAUGGAAAUAACAGUUUGU